GACGUAGGGCGCGAGCGUUGUCCGGAAUUAUUGGGCGUAAAGAGCUCGUAGGCGGCCUGUUGCGUCCGCUGUGAAAGCCCGGGGCUUAACCCCGGGUCUGCAGUGGAUACGGGCAGGCUAGAGGUAGGUAGGGGAGAAUGGAAUUCCCGGUGUAGCGGUGAAAUGCGCAGAUAUCGGGAGGAACACCGGUGGCGAAGGCGGUUCUCUGGGCCUUACCUGACGCUGAGGAGCGAAAGCGUGGGGAGCGAACAGG
RNAcentral lists this ribosomal RNA (253 nucleotides) under uncultured bacterium. Its description in RNAcentral is "partial 16S ribosomal RNA". It matches the Rfam family "Bacterial small subunit ribosomal RNA", at positions 524 to 776 of the family's 1533-position model. The record is from RNAcentral.